GAUGAACGCUAGCGGGAGGCUUAACACAUGCAAGUCGAGGGGCAUCACGAGGUAGCAAUACUUUGGUGGCGACCGGCGCACGGGUGAGUAACACGUAUGCAACCUGCCUGUAAGCGGGGAAUAACCCGUUGAAAGACGGACUAAUACCGCAUAAUACUAAAUUACUGCAUGGUAAUUUAUUUAAACAUUUAUGGCUUACAGAUGGGCAUGCGCAUGAUUAGCUAGUUGGAGAGGUAACGGCUCCCCAAGGCAACGAUCAUUAGGGGUUCUGAGAGGAAGGUCCCCCACACUGGUACUGAGACACGGACCAGACUCCUACGGGAGCAGCAGUGAGGAAUAUUGGUCAAUGGACGAGAGUCUGAACCAGCCAAGUCGCGUGCAGGAAGAAUGUCCUAUGGAUUGUAAACUGCUUUUGCAGGGGAAUAAAGUGCAUCACGUGUGAUUGUUUUGAUUGUACUCUGACGAAUAAGGAUCGGACUAACUCCGUGCC
Molecule: ribosomal RNA, 490 nt
Filed under: uncultured bacterium
Lineage: Bacteria
Description: bacterial SSU rRNA
Rfam family: Bacterial small subunit ribosomal RNA
Source: RNAcentral